Molecule: unclassified non-coding RNA, 148 nt
Organism: Pongo abelii (Sumatran orangutan)
Lineage: Eukaryota; Metazoa; Chordata; Mammalia; Primates; Hominidae
Rfam family: Metazoan signal recognition particle RNA
About the family: The signal recognition particle (SRP) is a universally conserved ribonucleoprotein.
Source: Ensembl
GCCAGGUGUGGUGGUGUGCACCUGUGGUCCCAGCUACUUAGGAGGCUGAGAUGGGAGGAUCGCUUGAGCCUGGGAGGUCAAGGCUGCAGUGAGUUAUGACUGUGCCACUGCACUCCAGCCUGGGCAACAGAGUGAGACCCUGCCUCAA